CUGCAUGGAAGGGCCAUCGCUCAAAGGAUAAAAGGUACUCCGGGGAUAACAGGCUGAUCUCCCCCAAGAGCUCAUAUCGACGGGGAGGUUUGGCACCUCGAUGUCGGCUCGUCACAUCCUGGGGCUGAAGAAGGUCCCAAGGGUUGAGCUGUUCGCUCAUUAAAGUGGCACGCGAGCUGGGUUCAGAACGUCGCAAGACAGUUCGGUCCCUAUCUGUUAUGGGCGUUUGAGAAUUGAGAAGAUCUGUCUCUAGUACGAGAGGACCGGGAUGGACUGACCUCUAGUGUACCGGUUAUGUCGCCAGAUGUACCGCCGGGUAGCUACGUUGGGAAUGGAUAAGCGCUGAAAGCAUCUAAGCACGAAACCAACUUCAAGAUGAGUUCUCAUAGGGUCGUCGAAGACUACGACGUUGAUAGGUUACAGGUGUAAAGGUGGUAACAUCAAAGCCGAGUAAUACUAAUAACCCAUCAACUUUUUAAA
This 480-nucleotide ribosomal RNA is filed under the name Chitinophagales bacterium. RNAcentral describes it as "partial 23S ribosomal RNA". It matches the Rfam family "Bacterial large subunit ribosomal RNA", at positions 2429 to 2925 of the family's 2925-position model. Lineage: Bacteria; Pseudomonadati; Bacteroidota; Chitinophagia; Chitinophagales. The record is from RNAcentral.